AAAUCUAAACUAAUAAAUCAUGUG
This 24-nucleotide small nuclear RNA is filed under the name Arabidopsis thaliana (thale cress). Its description in RNAcentral is "snRNA_13103". Lineage: Eukaryota; Viridiplantae; Streptophyta; Magnoliopsida; Brassicales; Brassicaceae. The record is from RNAcentral.